Long non-coding RNA from Puntigrus tetrazona (Sumatra barb), 434 nucleotides. RefSeq lists it as uncharacterized. NCBI's taxonomy places the organism in Eukaryota, Metazoa, Chordata, Actinopteri, Cypriniformes, Cyprinidae. The record is from RefSeq and is a predicted model, not a curated record. The transcript has 3 exons.
AUCAUGCAGAAGAUGAGGGCAACGCUUGAAUACAGACAGCGCCUUGUCCAUGAUCCAGAGAGGUCCACCACUGUUCUUUCAGUUUUUCCUUGAUUUCUGGAUACUAAAGGAUUGAUUCUUCAAGACUUCACGCUCCUCUUUGGGUCUGAAACUGCUUCCAGACUUUUGGAAAGGUGGCCAACAGCUUUCAAAGCAAUCAUCUUCCAAUCUGAACAGAGAAGGCAGUGAAGCCCAGGAUUCUCCAGAAUGGGACAGUGACAUAUCUUCCUUCCUUCCUUCCUUCUACUCCUGCAUCUUUUAUGACCCCAGGCUUCAGGAAGAAAGAAAACCCAAAAGAUCAGUAUCUCUCAGGCUGUUGACCAAGAUGGCGCCGCGAAUGGCAGCCUCAGUGCUUAGCUCUCAAGUGCUCGUAUUGUUUUUGUUAGUUUUUCCUG